RNAcentral lists this long non-coding RNA (1324 nucleotides) under Parus major (Great Tit). RNAcentral's name for it is "lncRNA (ENSPMJG00000015728.1)". Lineage: Eukaryota; Metazoa; Chordata; Aves; Passeriformes; Paridae. The record is from RNAcentral.
ACUCCUUUCCUUUUCUUUUGGUCGUUAAUGUUGGUGCAAAAAAAAAAAAGGGGGGGGGGGGGGGGGGAGCGGGGGGGGGUUUCUGUGGGGGGGGGGGGGUGGGGGGGGGGGGGGGGGGGGGGGGGGAGUGUGUGUGUGUGUGUGUGUGUGUGUGUGUGUGUGUGUGUGUGUGUGUGUGUGUAUGUGAGGGAAGGGGGGGGGACACACAAGACUGAGAAGAAUAAAAAAAGAGGUGCCUGACUUCAGUAGUCAAACACCUUCCCUGCCUCACAUCCGUUUGUGGUUUGUAAAGAGAGAGAGGAGAGGAAAAAAAAAAAAAUCUCUUCCAAAAAAGCACCGGUCUGCAGAUGUCUGCGAGAGAACCCACGAACCCUCCUUCUUCUACGGCAGGGCAGAUGUCUUUUGCUGCAGAUUUUUUUUGUUUUCGUUUAUAUUCACAAGGUUUCUGUGAAGAGAGGGAUGUUUCUUAAAUCUCCAGGCAAGAUGAGUGCUGCAUACCUUGACUCCAGCCAUGACAACACAAUUCCCAUGAAGCAGCCCUUGAAAAUCACUCUGGAGCUCACACAGCAGGAGACUGAAGAGCAUAAACCCAAUGCAAGCCCAAGCUUCCUUACACAUAAUUCCUUAGCUCUGUGGGGCUGCAUGCCCGUCUUUGGCCCACCCUGGUGUACCCUUGUUACAGGAGUGUGGCAAAAAUGGGGGUUCUGAAUUGAUCCAGGUCUGUUCUGGGCCUCUGCAAGUGUCUGAAGGAACUGUGUCUAUCUGGAAAAAAGAUUGAGCUUGUAAUAUGCAUAGAGGACAUCUUCAAAUCUAAACCAUUUGAAAAACCAAAAAAGGAAGUAGCACCUACUUCUUUCCAUGCCGUACUGAUGUAGCUGUACUCAACACCCAAUGCAGUGAGGAGUGGAUGUGCUAUUCAGCAGUCCUCCUCAUCAAGGACUUAGCAAUACUCAGUUUUCUUUAUACACACUGACACAUUUAGGCCUCCAUGGAGCUGUAACAUUUCAUUUUACCUCAGUGACGCUUCCAAUGUUCUGAAAGUGGAGUUUCAAAUGCAAGUUUUCACCCAGAAACUGAUUACCCAAAAGAUUUAAGUACAACAGAACAAAACAUAAUACCAUAUCUUUGCAUUUGCUUCUUUUUACCUCUUACAUGAAAGGUAUUUACUGACACGUCUCUCCCUUCUUGGUAAGUUUGGUGUGCACCUAAUAAUAAUCUCCAGAUAAGUGCAGUUGUGAAGGUAUCACAACCUUAUUGUUGCUAAAUGUUUUAUAGAUAUUGUAAUGAGUAAUAAAGUAAAAUUUAUUUUAAUUAAAUGCUUCCA